Molecule: ribosomal RNA, 253 nt
Filed under: uncultured bacterium
Lineage: Bacteria
Description: partial 16S ribosomal RNA
Rfam family: Bacterial small subunit ribosomal RNA
Source: RNAcentral
UACAGAGGUCUCGAGCGUUAGGCGGAAUCACUGGGCUUAAAGCGUGUGUAGGUGGAUCGUUAAGUACCUUGUGAAAUCCCACGGCUUAACCGUGGAACUGCCUUUGAUACUGGCGAUCUUGAGUCCGGGAGAGGUGAGUGGAACUGCGAGUGUAGAGGUGAAAUUCGUAGAUAUUCGCAAGAACACCAGUGGCGAAGGCGGCUCACUGGCCCGGUACUGACGCUGAGGUGCGAAAGCGUGGGGAGCAAACAGG